GCUGGGUGUUGUAGCGUGCUCCUGUAAUCCCAGCUACUCGGGAGGCUGAGGCGGGAGAAUCGCUUGAACCCAGGAGGCGGAGGCUGCAGUGAGCCGAGAUCGCGCCACUGCACUCCAGCUUGGGCGACAAAGCGAGACUCCGUCUCAA
This 148-nucleotide non-coding RNA is filed under the name Pan troglodytes (chimpanzee). The record is from Rfam by way of RNAcentral. Lineage: Eukaryota; Metazoa; Chordata; Mammalia; Primates; Hominidae.